RNAcentral lists this ribosomal RNA (2171 nucleotides) under Clostridium perfringens. Its description in RNAcentral is "partial 23S ribosomal RNA". It matches the Rfam family "Bacterial large subunit ribosomal RNA", at positions 741 to 2925 of the family's 2925-position model. Lineage: Bacteria; Bacillati; Bacillota; Clostridia; Eubacteriales; Clostridiaceae. The record is from RNAcentral.
CAGGUUGAAGCGAGGGUAAAACCUCGUGGAGGACCGAACCACGUUGCUGUUGAAAAAGCAUGGGAUGAGCUGUGGAUAGCGGAGAAAUUCCAAUCGAACCCGGAGAUAGCUGGUUCUCUCCGAAAUAGCUUUAGGGCUAGCGUCGAGUAUGAGUAGUGGAGGUAGAGCACUGAAUGGGCUAGGGGGCAUAGCGCUUACCGAACCUUAUCAAACUCCGAAUGCCACAUACUUUGAGCUCGGCAGUCAGACUACGAAUGAUAAGAUCCGUGGUCAAAAGGGAAACAGCCCAGAUCGUCAGCUAAGGUCCCAAAGUGUAAGUUAAGUGGGAAAGGAUGUGAGAUUUCUAAGACAACUAGGAUGUUGGCUUAGAAGCAGCCAUUCAUUAAAAGAGUGCGUAAUAGCUCACUAGUCGAGAGAUCUUGCGCCGAAAAUGUAACGGGGCUAAACUUACCACCGAAGCUACGGGCUUGAACUUAGUUCAAGCGGUAGGAGAGCGUCGUAACCGGGCUGAAGUCGUACCGUAAGGAGCGGUGGACUGGUUACGAGUGAGAAUGUUGGCAUCAGUAGCGAGAUGUGGGUGAGAAUCCCACAGGCCGAAAACCUAAGGUUUCCUCAGGAAGGUUCGUCCGCUGAGGGUUAGUCGGGACCUAAGCCGAGGCCGAAAGGCGUAGGUGAUGGACAACUGGUUGAUAUUCCAGUACCACUACCAUCGUUAUUAUCGAUGGCGUGACGCAGGAGGAUAGUGUGUGCUAGCUAUUGGAUGCUAGUCUAAGCGUUUAGGCAGUGAGAGUAGGCAAAUCCGCUCUCAUAAUGCUGAGGCGUGAUGGGGAAGGUUCCACGGAACCGAAGUACAUGAUUCCACGCUGCCAAGAAAAGCGUCUAGAGAGAGAAGUAGUGCCCGUACCGCAAACCGACACAGGUAGGUGAGGAGAGAAUCCUAAGGCCGGCGGAAGAAUUACAGUUAAGGAACUCGGCAAAUUGACCCCGUAAGUUCGCGAGAAGGGGUGCCUACGAGAGUAGGCCGCAGAGAAUAGGCCCAAGCAACUGUUUAGCAAAAACACAGGUCUCUGCUAAAGCGUAAGCUGAUGUAUAGGGGCUGACGCCUGCCCGGUGCUGGAAGGUUAAGGGGAACACUUAGCGCAAGCGAAGGUGUGAACUUAAGCCCCAGUAAACGGCGGCCGUAACUAUAACGGUCCUAAGGUAGCGAAAUUCCUUGUCAGGUAAGUUCUGACCCGCACGAAUGGCGUAAUGACUUGGGCACUGUCUCAACUGUAAAUCCGGCGAAGUUGUAGUGCGAGUGAAGAUGCUCGCUACCCGCGAUUGGACGGAAAGACCCCGUAGAGCUUUACUGUAGCUUAGCAUUGAGUUUUGGUAUUGUCUGUACAGGAUAGGUGGGAGACUAGGAAACCAGGGCGUCAGCCUUGGUGGAGUCAACCUUGGGAUACCACCCUGACAGUACUGAAAUUCUAACUGGCGGCCAUGAAUCUGGUCACAGGACAUUGUUAGGUGGGCAGUUUGACUGGGGCGGUCGCCUCCUAAAAAGUAACGGAGGCGCCCAAAGGUUCCCUCAGAACGGUCGGAAAUCGUUCGAAGAGUGCAAAGGCAGAAGGGAGCCUGACUGCGACACCCACAAGUGGAGCAGGGACGAAAGUCGGGCUUAGUGAUCCGGUGGUACCUCGUGGGAGGGCCAUCGCUCAACGGAUAAAAGCUACCUCGGGGAUAACAGGCUGAUCUCCCCCAAGAGUCCACAUCGACGGGGAGGUUUGGCACCUCGAUGUCGGCUCGUCGCAUCCUGGGGCUGAAGUAGGUCCCAAGGGUUGGGCUGUUCGCCCAUUAAAGCGGCACGCGAGCUGGGUUCAGAACGUCGUGAGACAGUUCGGUCCCUAUCCGUCGCGGGCGUAGGAAAUUUGAGAGGAGCUGUCCUUAGUACGAGAGGACCGGGAUGGACUGACCUCUGGUGUACCAGUUGUUCCGCCAGGAGCACAGCUGGGUAGCUAAGUCGGGAAUGGAUAAACGCUGAAAGCAUCUAAGCGUGAAGCCAACCUCAAGAUGAGAUUUCCCAUAGCGUAAGCUAGUAAGAUCCCUUGAAGAACACAAGGUUGAUAGGUCGGGGGUGUAAGCAUGGUAACAUGUUCAGCUGACCGAUACUAAUAGAUCGAGGGCUUGACCAA